UGCCAGCCGCCGCGGUAAUACGGAGGGUGCAAGCGUUAAUCGGAAUUACUGGGCGUAAAGCGCGCGCAGGCGGCUAUUUAAGUCGGAUGUGAAAGCCCCGGGCUCAACCUGGGAACUGCAUACGAUACUGGAUGGCUAGAGUACGAGAGAGGGUGGUAGAAUUUCUAGUGUAGCGGUGAAAUGCGUAGAUAUUAGAAGGAAUACCAGUGGCGAAGGCGGCCACCUGGCUCGAUACUGACGCUCAUGUGCGAAAGCGUGGGGAGCAAACAGGAUUAGAUA
RNAcentral lists this ribosomal RNA (279 nucleotides) under uncultured bacterium. RNAcentral's name for it is "partial 16S ribosomal RNA". It matches the Rfam family "Bacterial small subunit ribosomal RNA", at positions 506 to 784 of the family's 1533-position model. The record is from RNAcentral.